CCCAAAAUCUGCAGGUGCAGCCGAGGCCUUGGCAAGGAGCAGGCUGAUUAUCAAGUUCAGAAAACAGCUACACUGUCUUGUUAAUUCUUCUUCAAGGUCUUGAGCACAGCAUAAAUUCCAAUGGAAAGGAACUUGGAGCUUUAAGGAUCACAGGCAGCGAAUCAGAGUCCCUGGCUUCUGGAUUGAACCACUCUCCAUGUUUCCAAUUACAACUCACCAGUAAGGUUCUUUGUUUAAAAAAUGAGAAUCUCAAAAAGAAAAAAAAUCCUUUCCAUUCAUUGCUUUUGCAUUUACCUGAUUGUAUGUUCUGAAAGGAAGGAUGGCUUUUAAGGCCACUAAUGCAGCAUAAUUAUGCUAAAAGCAGUAGACUAUAAUUAUAAUGUGAUCUCUGAAGAAAGGGACUAGUGGUGGAGGGGUGGGGAUGGCUGAGGCUAAUAAAGGGAACUUGCUAAAGCAUUUAAGCUACAAUCCAACAAUAUUACAUUCCUGUAAACCUAUUGAAUCAAUGAGCUUAAACCUAUCUCUGUGUUGAACUUUGGCUUUGAGCUGUAUGUUUCAUCAGCAAGCAACAGUCCAAUCCUAUGCGUGUUUAUUUAAAGAGAGCACUAAGGUCAGUAGGAUUUACUCCUAAUUAAGCAUGCAUAAGACUCCUAGUCAAUCUAGCCUUUUUUGCAUUUUGUAUCAUGAUUUCUUGAAUGGAAGCUUCGGUUGAAACAAUUUCAAAAGCUGCCAGCUCAAAUGCUGUGAUGUGAAAACUAAACCUUGUUAUUUGUUCUGUCGGCUCCAAGACCUUCAUUUUAUUUGUAAUCAUAUUUUCCUCUUGAUUUUAAGAAUAAUAAAA
Sphaerodactylus townsendi is the source of this 841-nucleotide long non-coding RNA. RefSeq lists it as uncharacterized. The transcript has 3 exons. The record is from RefSeq and is a predicted model, not a curated record. Lineage: Eukaryota; Metazoa; Chordata; Lepidosauria; Squamata; Sphaerodactylidae.